UCGGAGUGUGUGCGUUUGCUUUCCAAUGAUAGAAAAUAAAAAGUGAUGCCAUGGGCCAAAAUGCAAUAUUUUGUUUUACUUUGAUAGUGCCGUUUGCUGGUGGUGUCGCUGAAUGGAGAAAAUUUCUAGAAAAGUUCAAAAAGAGUAAUGCAGUUUUAUGUAUAAUUGAUCAGUUUAUGUUGAAUAACUGGGUUGGUGGAAGCACCGGGUUGAUUUCGAUUUGCGCUGGUGUUUACAUACAAGGAACAGGGUGGCCAACUGCAACGCCAACUUAGAACUUGUGGUCAUUGCGACAGUAUAUGGGAAUGCAUAAAAAAAGGAGCCGCACAUAUUAGAACUCGAGCAGUGUUGUGAAAUCUGCAUGCCUAAAAUCAAAACCUUUUGCUUGAAGACCGCACGCAGUGCCUAUAUCUAGCAAGAGCAGCUCACAGUAGUUUCACAUCAUUAUUAUUUUUGAUCUUCAAAAUCAAAAACGCAAAUUAUGACAACAAAGAAAGAAAAGAAAAACACGAGCAUCCCUCUCCGUUUUGUGGCAUCUCAAUCUGCGCUUUUGCUUUUUAAAGCUAUGUUUCACUAAAUAUAUCCCUCAAGAGGUACUUCAAAGCUAUUAAUGUCAAGUUAGCCUGAUAUACAGGCUUGUUUAUUGGCACUUGAUCUUCUAUUUGGAGCUUCGUGAUGCCCUAUGGAAUAAAGUGACAAUUAGUCUGAAAAUGAGCAUUACGUGCAGCCAGAGCACAGCUACUCCGCAACCUCUAGCACAAAAUAUGUUAACCUGUCAGUCAUCUAGAACCAGUCACAGUGUUCGGUUUAAGCCCGAAAGUGACUAUGCAGGAAUAGAGAAGUGUAGGAACGUCACGAACACACGCCACUUGACCAGACACUCUCAGUCAAAACAUUGCCAGCAGUCAAUGACUUGGGC
Rhipicephalus sanguineus (brown dog tick) is the source of this 919-nucleotide long non-coding RNA. RefSeq lists it as uncharacterized. Lineage: Eukaryota; Metazoa; Arthropoda; Arachnida; Ixodida; Ixodidae. The record is from RefSeq and is a predicted model, not a curated record. The transcript is spliced from 3 exons.